Molecule: ribosomal RNA, 497 nt
Filed under: uncultured bacterium
Lineage: Bacteria
Description: partial 16S ribosomal RNA
Rfam family: Bacterial small subunit ribosomal RNA
Source: RNAcentral
GAUGAACGCUGGCGGCGUGCCUAAUACAUGCAAGUCGAGCGAACAGACGAGGAGCUUGCUCCUCUGACGUUAGCGGCGGACGGGUGAGUAACACGUGGAUAACCUACCUAUCAGACUGGGAUAACUUCGGGAAACCGGAGCUAAUACCGGAUAAUAUAUUGAACCGCAUGGUUCAAUAGUGAAAGACGGUUUUGCUGUCACUUAUAGAUGGAUCCGCGCCGCAUUAGCUAGUUGGUAAGGUAACGGCUUACCAAGGCAACGAUGCGUAGCCGACCUGAGAGGGUGAUCGGCCACACUGGAGCGGAGACACGGUCCUGACUCCUACGGGAGGCAGCAGUAGGGAAUCUGACGCAAUGGGCGAAAGCCUGACGGAGCAACGCCGCGUGAGUGAUGAAGGUCUUCGGAUCGUAAAACUCUGUUAUUAGGGAAGAACAAAUGUGUAAGUAACUAUGCACGUCUUGACGGUACCUAAUCAGAAAGCCACGGCUAACUACGUG